This 468-nucleotide ribosomal RNA is filed under the name uncultured bacterium. RNAcentral describes it as "partial 16S ribosomal RNA". It matches the Rfam family "Bacterial small subunit ribosomal RNA", at positions 28 to 507 of the family's 1533-position model. The record is from RNAcentral.
GAUGAACGCUGGCGGCGUGCUUAACACAUGCAAGUCGAACGGAAAGGCCCAAUCUUGCUUGGUUACUCGAGUGGUGAGCGGGAGAGUAACACAAGGGGGAUGUGCCCUGCACUUCGGGAUAAGCCUAGCAAACUAGGGCUUAUACCAGAUAGGACGAUUGUUUGGAUGCCAUUGUGGAAAGUUUUUUAGGUGUGGGAUGAGCUCGCGGCCGAUCAGCUUGUUGGUGGGGUACUGGCCUACCAAGGCGUCGACGUGUAGCCGGCCUGAGAGGGUGUACGGCCAAAUUCGGACUGAGGUACGGCACAGAAUCCUACGGGAUGCAGCAGUGGGGAAGAAGGCACAAUGCGCGGAAGCCUGAUGCAGCGACGCCGCGUGCGGGAUGACAGCCUUCUGCUUGUAAGCUGCUAUCGCUAGGCACGAAGCGUUUUUGUGACGGUACCUGGAGAAGAAGCGCCGGCUAACUACGUG